GACGAACGCUGGCGGCGUGCUUAACACAUGCAAGUCGAACGGAAAGGCCCUGCUUUUGUGGGGUGCUCGAGUGGCGAACGGGUGAGUAACACGUGAGUAACCUGCCCUUGACUUUGGGAUAACUUCAGGAAACUGGGGCUAAUACCGGAUAGGAGCUCCUGCUGCAUGGUGGGGGUUGGAAGGUUUCGGCGGUUGGGGAUGGACUCGCGGCUUAUCAGCUUGUUGGUGGGGUAGUGGCUUACCAAGGCUUUGACGGGUAGCCGGCCUGAGAGGGUGACCGGCCACAUUGGGACUGAGAUACGGCCCAGACUCCUACGGGAGGCAGCAGUGGGGAAUAUUGCACAAUGGGCGGAAGCCUGAUGCAGCAACGCCGCGUGCGGGAUGACGGCCUUCGGGUUGCAAACCGCUUUCGCCUGUGACGAAGCGUGAGUGACGGUAAUGGGUAAAGAAGCGCCGGCUAACUACGUG
Molecule: ribosomal RNA, 468 nt
Filed under: uncultured bacterium
Lineage: Bacteria
Description: partial 16S ribosomal RNA
Rfam family: Bacterial small subunit ribosomal RNA
Source: RNAcentral